UUAACUCAAAUUGGUAUGGAGUUGGAGCGUUUGCCUACGUUUGCCGCUAGGGGCGCUGUACCAACCGCAUACAAAUUUGAGUUA
Molecule: non-coding RNA, 84 nt
Organism: Bombyx mori (domestic silkworm)
Lineage: Eukaryota; Metazoa; Arthropoda; Insecta; Lepidoptera; Bombycidae
Source: Rfam